This 1981-nucleotide ribosomal RNA is filed under the name termite gut metagenome. RNAcentral describes it as "bacterial LSU rRNA". It matches the Rfam family "Bacterial large subunit ribosomal RNA", at positions 1 to 1998 of the family's 2925-position model. The record is from RNAcentral.
AAAAGUAAACAAGGGCGCAUGGGGGAUGCCUUAGGCUCUCGAAGGCGAAGAAGGACGUGAUAAGCUGCGAAAAGCUGCGGUAAGGAGCAAAUAUCCUUAGACCCGCAGAUCUCCGAAUGGGGCAACCCAGUAUCCGAAGAGGAUACUACACUGUGUAUAGCGGUGGGCAAACCGGGGGAACUGAAACAUCUAAGUACCCCGAGGAAAAGAAAACAAAAGUGAUUCCCUGAGUAGCGGCGAGCGAACGGGGAGCAGCCCAAACCGGAAAUGUCGAGGCAUAUUCCGGGGUUGUAGGACUGAGAGAUGGCAUCAAGACAAGGAAGUGGAACGGACUGGAACGUCCGGUCGCAGAAGGUGACAACCCUGUACACGAAUCUUUAUUUUGAGCCUAUCAGACUCCUGAGUAGUGCGGGACACGAGAAAUCCUGUAUGAAUCGACGGGGACCAUCCCGUAAGGCUAAAUACUUCCGAGAGACCGAUAGCGAACCAGUACCGUGAGGGAAAGGUGAAAAGAACCUCGCACAGAGGAGUGAAACAGACCCUGAAACCAUGCGCCUGCAAGCGGUCGGAGCUGGCAACAGUGACGGCGUGCCUUUUGCAUAAUGAACCUACGAGUUACUUUUGUUGGCAAGGUUAAGCGUAAAUAUAUGCGGAGCCGAAGCGAAAGCGAGUCUUAACAGGGCGUUUAAGUCAGCAGGAGUAGACGCGAAACCAAGUGAUCUACCCUUGAGCAGGCUGAAGGUUGGGUAACACCAAUUGGAGGGCCGCACCGAUAAGCGUUGAAAAGCUUCCGGAUGACUUGAGGGUAGGGGUGAAAGGCUAAUCAAACUUGGAGAUAGCUCGUACUCCCCGAAAUGCAUUUAGGUGCAGCCUCGGUAUAUACGUUGUGUCAGGUAGAGCGACUGAUUGGAUGCGAGGGCUUCGCCGCCUAUCAAGUCCAGAUAAACUCCGAAUGGGCACAAUGAUUAACCGGGAGUGAGGGCGCGGGUGCUAAGGUCCGUGUCCGAGAGGGAAAGAACCCGGACCACCGGCUAAGGUCCCCAAAUACAUGUUAAGUUGAGUUAACGAAGUGUCUCCGCCCAGACAGCUAGGAUGUUGGCUUGGAAGCAGCCAUUCAUUUAAAGAGUGCGUAACAGCUCACUAGUCGAGUGGGGAUGCGUGGAUAAUAAUCGGGCAUAAAACAUGUUACCGAAGCCGUGGGAUUGAAAUAAUAUCGGUAGGGGAGCAUUCUGUCGGCGUAGAAGGUGCAGCGAGAGCUGUACUGGAGUUUACAGAAAAGCAAAUGUAGGUAUGAGUAACGAUAAAGGGGGUGGGAAACCCCCUCGCCGAAAGACUAAGGUUUCCUGAUCAACGCUAAUCGGAUCAGGGUAAGUCGGGCCCUAAGGCAAUGCCGAGCGGCUAGGCCGAUGGACGAACCGGUUAAUAUUCCGGUACUAUUUGCAGGAGUGAUGCGGCGACGCAGGAGUGACACUGUAGCCGGCUGACGGAAUAGCCGGUUUAAGGGAGUAGGUAUUGAUUCCGGCAGGCAAAUCCGCCGGGAGAGCCGAACCUGAAAGUAUGAGGAGUCUUCGGGCGAAUCAAUUACAGGUAAUCAGACUGCCGAGAAAACCCGCUAAACAUAUUUUGCAAGUACCCGUACUAAAACGGACACACGUAGUUGGGUUGAGUAUACUGAGGCGCUCGGGAGAUUCACAGUUAAGGAAUUAGGCAAAAUGACCCUGUAACUUCGGGAUAAAGGGUGCCACCUGCGAGGGUGGCCGCAGAGAAAAGAAGAAGGCAACUGUUUAACAAAAACACAAGGCUGUGCCAAUAAGCAAUUAGACGUAUACAGCCUGACACCUGCCCGGUGCCGGAAGGUUAAGAGGAGAUGUCAUGGGUAACCGGAAGCAUUGAAUUGAAGCCCCGGUAAACGGCGGCCGUAACUAUAACGGUCCUAAGGUAGCGAAAUUCCUUGUCGGGUAAGUUCCGACCUGCACGAAUG